This 253-nucleotide ribosomal RNA is filed under the name uncultured bacterium. RNAcentral describes it as "partial 16S ribosomal RNA". It matches the Rfam family "Bacterial small subunit ribosomal RNA", at positions 524 to 776 of the family's 1533-position model. The record is from RNAcentral.
GACGUAGGGGGCCAGCGUUGUUCGGAAUUACUGGGUGUAAAGGGUUCGUAGGCGGUGCGGCAAGUUGGGAGUGAAAUCUCUGGGCUUAACCCAGAGGCUGCUUCCAAAACUGCUGUGCUUGAGUGUGGGAGAGGCGCGUGGAAUUGCAGGUGUAGCGGUGAAAUGCGCAGAGAUCGGGAGGAACACCCGUAGCGAAGGCGGCACUCUGGGCCGGUACUGACGCUGAGGAGCGAAAGCGUGGGGAGCAAACAGG